RNAcentral lists this long non-coding RNA (378 nucleotides) under Fukomys damarensis (Damara mole-rat). Its description in RNAcentral is "lncRNA (ENSFDAG00000025672.1)". Lineage: Eukaryota; Metazoa; Chordata; Mammalia; Rodentia; Bathyergidae. The record is from RNAcentral.
UCAUUUAAAAAAAAUUUUCUGCUUAAUUUUUUUUUUUUUUGGUAAUUUUAUUUAGGGUCUCGAAGCUCUCUAUCAAAACCUACAAGAGUCACGAGCCUUAACAGAGAGGGGAUGACAAACUGUUUGCUCCUCGGUCUGCGAUGAACAUUAACAUCAUCUUCAGCGUCAGCAAAGAUCUUAUGGGAAUCAGUGUGCCUUUCACAGUCUCCUACCCCCCACCCUGGUCGUUACUGGAACUGAGCUAAAACCCUAGCCCAUGAUAAUCACUGAAAACAUCAGGGUCAUCUGAAGAAAAUGAGUGAGAUGGACAAGAGAAAGAGUAGAUACAAACAAGGAAGAAGAGGAAGGUAGGAAUUAUUGUUAUUUUUUAAAGUUUUA